Molecule: long non-coding RNA, 303 nt
Organism: Malaclemys terrapin pileata
Lineage: Eukaryota; Metazoa; Chordata; Testudines; Emydidae
Exons: 3
Source: RefSeq, a predicted model, not a curated record
UUUCAUCGCUGCAUUGGUAAAUAGAGGAUCCAGCUAUAAACAUACUAACCUCUGCAUCAUUUUCUUGCUUAACCUACUGGAAGAGCCACCUGGACCUGAGAAACCUUCCUAUCAAAGGUUUCAUCAAAAUCAAUACAUUUACAUGAUACAUUUCAGCUUUGACAAAACAGCAGUUUUCGAUGAAGAAACUCUUUGUUUAAAGUAUCAGUAUGGAAAAGCGAUAGGGUAAUUUCUUACUGGAUUCUGUUGAGAGCUCCUAAGGAAAACCAGAUUCAGAAGAGCCCUUUUCCUGAGAUCAAUGGA